Molecule: ribosomal RNA, 254 nt
Filed under: uncultured bacterium
Lineage: Bacteria
Description: partial 16S ribosomal RNA
Rfam family: Bacterial small subunit ribosomal RNA
Source: RNAcentral
UACGUAGGGUGCGAGCGUUAAUCGGAAUUACUGGGCGUAAAGCGUGCGCAGGCGGUCUGUUAAGACCGAUGUGAAAUCCCCGGGCUUAACCUGGGAACUGCAUUGGUGACUGGCAGGCUUUGAGUAUGGCAGAGGGGGGUAGAAUUCCACGUGUAGCAGUGAAAUGCGUAGAGAUGUGGAGGAACACCGAUGGCGAAGGCAGCCCCCUGGGUCAAGACUGACGCUCAUGCACGAAAGCGUGGGGAGCAAACAGG